AGGGGAAAGCGAUCUCCCCUCAAGGCGACAUGCCCAAGAAUCGC
RNAcentral lists this non-coding RNA (44 nucleotides) under unclassified sequences. The record is from RNAcentral.